Molecule: ribosomal RNA, 501 nt
Filed under: Bacillus licheniformis
Lineage: Bacteria; Bacillati; Bacillota; Bacilli; Caryophanales; Bacillaceae
Description: bacterial SSU rRNA
Rfam family: Bacterial small subunit ribosomal RNA
Source: RNAcentral
GCAUUAGCUAGUUGGUGAGGUAACGGCUCACCAAGGCAACGAUGCGUAGCCGACCUGAGAGGGUGAUCGGCCACACUGGGACUGAGACACGGCCCAGACUCCUACGGGAGGCAGCAGUAGGGAAUCUUCCGCAAUGGACGAAAGUCUGACGGAGCAACGCCGCGUGAGUGAUGAAGGUUUUCGGAUCGUAAAGCUCUGUUGUUAGGGAAGAACAAGUGCCGUUCAAAUAGGGCGGCACCUUGACGGUACCUAACCAGAAAGCCACGGCUAACUACGUGCCAGCAGCCGCGGUAAUACGUAGGUGGCAAGCGUUGUCCGGAAUUAUUGGGCGUAAAGGGCUCGCAGGCGGUUUCUUAAGUCUGAUGUGAAAGCCCCCGGCUCAACCGGGGAGGGUCAUUGGAAACUGGGGAACUUGAGUGCAGAAGAGGAGAGUGGAAUUCCACGUGUAGCGGUGAAAUGCGUAGAGAUGUGGAGGAACACCAGUGGCGAAGGCGACUCUCU